Long non-coding RNA from Malaclemys terrapin pileata, 572 nucleotides. RefSeq lists it as uncharacterized. The transcript is spliced from 3 exons. NCBI's taxonomy places the organism in Eukaryota, Metazoa, Chordata, Testudines, Emydidae. The record is from RefSeq and is a predicted model, not a curated record.
CCCAAUGUUUCGCAACCGUACAGCAGUACAGAGAGGAUACAGCUCGAUUAGAUCCUGAACUUGGUUGUCGUGCCGAGAUGAUGUUGAUUCCGUAUUCAUUGUAAACGACCCAUGGCAGAGGCUGCAAUGCCACACUCAGGCACCUAAAUAAAUGGCCUGACCUUUCUCAAAUGCUGAAUACCAAGAACUUCUCACUCGAAUCUGCCGAAGCCGUGGCUGUUCAGCUCCUCUGAAAAUCAAUCCACUCGUUUAGAUGCCUGAAUAGGAAUGUUAGUGCCAGACUUUGGACAGUGACAUAGGAAGACAUUGGCCUGAGCCUAUGCAUGGACUCUCAUCCUACAAUCCAGCCCCUCAACAGAUACAUCCCAGCUUCUGACUGUGAGCCAUUCAGCUACAAUGGGGAGGCCUAGAUGCUAGCCCCACAUGAGAGAGGGAAGGAUUUCAGGCCCAAGGCCCAAGUGGGGCAGGAAGAAGCACACGCUCACCUCAGUUGCCUUCUUUGCUGAGGGCGCACUGUCCAGCACGCCGGCAGACAGACCCAGAUCAGAAGGCCUGGACUUGGUACGUGAACG